Molecule: unclassified non-coding RNA, 210 nt
Filed under: Hevea brasiliensis (rubber tree)
Lineage: Eukaryota; Viridiplantae; Streptophyta; Magnoliopsida; Malpighiales; Euphorbiaceae
Source: RNAcentral
UGCGUAAUUCACCAUUGUUGACAUUUACCAAGAAGACAAUGUUGUGUGUUAUUGAUCCAAUAAAGUUUUUUUAUUCUUCAAUAUUUAAUAAUAUGAGAACAAGUUUUAAGUGGGGGAAAAUAGUAUGCUAAUUGUCAACAUAACAUUGUUAGAUUGUUGCAAGCUGUUCUAAUUUGAGGACGAGUUUUUUUCAAGUGGGAGGAUAUGAUG